RNAcentral lists this unclassified non-coding RNA (276 nucleotides) under uncultured bacterium. Its description in RNAcentral is "contains 16S-23S intergenic spacer region". The record is from RNAcentral.
AAUUUCUUUCCGUUUUGACUACCUAGUUCUGCUGUUGCUGUUGACUUGAUAGCAGGUCCCUCCACCAAAUAGAGUCUUGGCUUCCUCUAAUGCCUUCCUCCAAUGCCCUCUAGCCUCCAUACUUUGAGACUAUGAACUCUUCAGAUUAUCAACCCCUUCCAUUUGCUGCAAGAGUUCCAAUAUGCUUCCAGCUUUUAUCUUAGCUCUAUCAGUUCCAUUUUCUGACAACUCAUGCAGUGCUGCUUCUGCACCAUGUUCUUUCGCUAGUUUUAAUUG